Molecule: transfer RNA, 103 nt
Filed under: Nostoc sp. FACHB-190
Lineage: Bacteria; Bacillati; Cyanobacteriota; Cyanophyceae; Nostocales; Nostocaceae
Description: tRNA-Gln
Source: RNAcentral
UGCCGGGUGGACGAAUUGGAAAGUCGCAUCGCUCUGAACGAUGAGGUUGCAGGUACCCUUCGGGAAGCCGCUACCGCGUCUACAAACCCUGCCCUGGCAACCA